ACUGCAUCCCCUAGCGGCGCCCGGGUGGCUGCAGCCGCUGGCCCGAAAAUGCUGCUCGGGCGAGCAGGGGUCAGGCGGGAAAAGAAGACUCCAAAUCCACUCUCUGCUCGCCCCCAGGGCAAUGCUGCCAGGAGAGGGAGUGGGUUCCCCCGCAGGCUAUCCCACCGAUGGGGCUGAGAGCUUAAUUUGGGGUUUUAUUUGAAUUGGAGACAUUGUUCCCUCUUCGCUCCUCUACCCCAUAAAAUUCCCUACAAAUGCAAAAAUUCGAGAUAGAAGAAGCCGUCCCUGAAAGUAAGUUCUGAAGGAUUCCUUUCAUGCGGUGAAGGAACAACAACAAUAUUCAACUUCACCUUGGUGUGUGAGGGUCGUCGUGUUUUAAAACACUAUCCCUGUAGAAAGAUUAGUGAAAUGUAUUGGAAGAAGUAGUGGAAACGUGAAUCUUCCUGGUCUCGCGUUUGGAUCUUCUUUGGAGUCCUCACCUUCUUAAAUCUGAUGUUUGUUUGAAAUCAGGGCUGAAUUUCCAUAUAUAGGACAGAAAGAAAGAACCCCAAUUUUUUAAAGAAAGCUCCCCCCCCCCCCGCCACGUUUCUCCUGAGCCCACUUGGUCUCCCGUUAUUAGGCGGCCCAGUUAAGAGGCAUCGAUUUUCCUUUCAUUCUCUGACCACUCGUCUCUCCUGGGCCAGCCAGGCUGCCCGCAUCUUCUCCUGCUCACAGCGCUCUCUAAACCUUUUAAUUAUUUAGUUGCUGUCUAACAUUCACCGGAAACCUCUCCAUAAACAAGGAGAAACGAAUGCACACGCAUUUUUGCUAAGAAGCCCGGGAUUAAGAUUUAAGGAUACAAGCUGAAAGAAAAAAUGAAAAAUGCUUCUCCGCGCGUCAAUCGAGGGGUGGAUGCGCCACGCAGCGUGAGCCCAGCUCACAGCCACGCGUAAGACCAAAAGCUGCCAUGGGUUCUGCGCGCGGAGACCUCAGAGCCGAAGAGAGAAGUCCCCGCGUCAGAAACGCUGCGGAUGCCAGGUCUUGAAAAUGCUGACUUCUGAGGCUAAGAAUUAUUUCAAAGACAAAAAGAAAAGACUGGAGCAGCCGGCGGAGCUCGGGUGGAGGAAAGCGAGGAGGCGACCAGGAGGAUGCCGCCGCCGCCGCCGCAGGGCCCGGGGCUUCUGCAGGGCGCAAGGCCUCCCUCACCAGGGUAAGGGGCUGGCGAUCAACCUGGACGCCUGGGACCUUGGGAGCAAGCAUCCCGCAGCCGAGCAGGCGACGGCGCGGCCACCGCCUAGAGAGGAGCCGGGGCCCGGGGCGGCGUGCGGGUCGGCAGCAGCCGGCUUGGCCUAUCCGAAACCCCAGGCCUGGAAGCGGCUGCUUUAGGCGUCAAGUUGAGCGGGGUAUGUGUGUCCUCUUGGGAAAAAGGUGAGAAAUGGAGCCGGACUUUCUCCACUCGGUAGGGGUUAAGCUACCACACACACCCCCAAACACAUGCCCACGUGCAAGUCCCUCCCACCCGCCCUCCCAGGGGCGAAGAGACCCUGUCCCAGUGGAAGUGGGGAAACCCAGUCGGGUACAGAAAGCAGAGGCCAUGGCGCAGAGCGGAGGCGCGGCUUUCUGGGGCUCAGCCCUAGGGCUACAGACCCAGGGCGCGGAGAUGCUCGCGGCCGGGCCACCCACCAGAGCCAGGCAACCGGCGCUUCCAGGCGAGCUCCGCGGGGCCGAGGUGCCGGGAGAAGCGGCCCCGGGCGCCCGCGCGCUGCCCGACCUGGGUAACAGGCAAAGCGGAGCCCCGGGGUCGAAGUCCUAAAGUUACUAAUCCCGCGGAGGGGGAGAGAGCGUGCCUCGGGCCGCCCGGGGCGGUCAUUUGAGCGUGUUUACUUAAAGACUUUGCAAGCAGAGCGCGCGCGAAAUCGUCGGAUUUCCAGCGAGGCAGCAAAUAUUUGCAGGCAGAAGAAAGAAGCGGAGCCGAGCCGAGCCGCCGAGUCCCUCCCCCCGGAGCCCCGGAGCCCCGGCGCCUGCCUGGGCGGUCCCGGCCGCGCAGACAGAAAAGAAGCCGGGAAUCUGCGGGGCUGGGGGGCGGGGAGCGACACCAAAGGCCAGAAACUGCAGCACGGCCCGAGGCCCUGGCGAGCUGGGCCUGGGGGAGGAGAAGUCCCUUCCCAUUCCAGCUCGAUCAAUCUUGCUGGGCUGCGAUCGGUCAAUAAAAACGGUGUGAAGCGGC
Molecule: long non-coding RNA, 2206 nt
Filed under: Homo sapiens (human)
Lineage: Eukaryota; Metazoa; Chordata; Mammalia; Primates; Hominidae
Description: non-protein coding GATA3-AS1:18
Source: RNAcentral